AACGAACGCUGGCGGCAUGCCUAACACAUGCAAGUCGAACGAGACCUUCGGGUCUAGUGGCGCACGGGUGCGUAACGCGUGGGAACCUGCCCUUAGGUUCGGAAUAACUCCCCGAAAGGGGUGCUAAUACCGGAUAAUGUCUUCGGACCAAAGAUUUAUCGCGUUGGGAUGGGCGCGCGUUGGAUUAGCUAGUUGGUAGGGUAAAAGCCUACCAAGGCGACGAUCCAUAGCUGGUCUGAGAGGAUGAUCAGCCACACUGGGAGUGAGACACGGCCCAGACGCAUGCGGGAGGGAGGAGGGGGGUAGAGUGCAAAAUGGGCGGGAGCGUGGUGGAGCAACGCCGCGUGCGGGAAGACGGCCUGCGGGUUGGAAACCGCUUUCGCCGGUGACGGAGCGUGAGGGACGGUCAUGGAGAAAGAAGCACCGGCGAACUACGG
Molecule: ribosomal RNA, 437 nt
Filed under: uncultured bacterium
Lineage: Bacteria
Description: partial 16S ribosomal RNA
Rfam family: Bacterial small subunit ribosomal RNA
Source: RNAcentral